RNAcentral lists this ribosomal RNA (253 nucleotides) under uncultured bacterium. RNAcentral's name for it is "partial 16S ribosomal RNA". It matches the Rfam family "Bacterial small subunit ribosomal RNA", at positions 524 to 776 of the family's 1533-position model. The record is from RNAcentral.
UACGGGGGGGGCAAGCGUUGUUCGGAAUUACUGGGCGUAAAGGGCGCGUAGGCGGCCAACUAAGUCAGACGUGAAAUCCCUCGGCUCAACCGGGGAACUGCAUCUGAUACUGGAUGGCUUGAGAUUGGGAGAGGGAUGCGGAAUUCCAGGUGUAGCGGUGAAAUGCGUAGAUAUCUGGAGGAACACCGGUGGCGAAGGCGGCAUCCUGGACCAACACUGACGCUGAGGAGCGAAAGCCAGGGGAGCAAACGGG